UCGGGAANCUUUCGCAAUGGGCCGAACCCUGACGACGCGACGCCGCGUGCGAUGAUGAAGGCCUUCGGGUUGUAAACUCCUGUCAUCAGGGGAAAACAAGCAAAAGUGCGGAACUGAGACGGNAUCCUCAAAGGACGCCC
RNAcentral lists this ribosomal RNA (140 nucleotides) under uncultured bacterium. Its description in RNAcentral is "partial 16S ribosomal RNA". The record is from RNAcentral.